Long non-coding RNA from Triticum aestivum (bread wheat), 1441 nucleotides. RefSeq lists it as uncharacterized. NCBI's taxonomy places the organism in Eukaryota, Viridiplantae, Streptophyta, Magnoliopsida, Poales, Poaceae. The record is from RefSeq and is a predicted model, not a curated record. The transcript has 2 exons.
GUGAGCUGUGUGUCGAGCACCUUCCCCAUCUUCUCCCCCACCCCUUCUUCCUUCCAGGCGGCUGCAUGAGGGCGAGGUCGCCAGAUCCGACCCUCCCUGGCCGCCGGUGCCGCUCCUCCCCAUCCCGAGGCCACCGCCGAGCCGCCUCACCCCAGGCCCCUGCUGCGCCGCCCCUCUGCAAGCCGCUGCAGCCCCAGCCCGUGCGAGGCCCCCGCCGCGCCGCCCCUCUACAAGUCGCCCGUGCACCACCUCUCCCGAGGCCCCCACCAACAAAACCUCGUGCGCCUCCCACCGCUCCCCCCUGCCAGCUCCGUCCGACCCGGUGCUGCUCGGCCGCUCUCAGCCAUCGGCGGCGAGCCUUGGCAACCGGAUCCAGGGACACUUCCAGCGGGCCACCGGCCUCGAGCAACCACUUCCCGUCCCGCAGCUAGCGCCACCAACUAGCGAGGAUGCGGCAGCAACAGCUCCCUGCUCACGUGGCGGAUCUGUCCCCGUGCACUCCUCUGGUUCCACCCACUAGAGCAGAGCAUGGCAGCAAGCCUUCCCAUGGUUGCACCUCCGCCUCCCAUCAGAGUCUGCAUAUGCUUAUGCAGCUCACCUUCACUUUGUCUGCAGCUCUCUGUAGCCUCUCAUGGUGUUCACGUCUGUUGCUUCUAAUCUGCAUGGCGAUCGGCGUAGAAGCCACAGGCAUGGAAGAAGGCCAGCGCCGGCAGCUGCUCCUCACCCUGCUCCGCUCCCGUGCAGUGUGGAGCCCGUGUGUGUCUUGCCUGCCUGCCCCAUCCCAACCGAGAGACCCCCACUUUUCGGUGAGAUCCGGCGACGAGGACCUGCUCCACCGCGGCGCUCGCCUGCCCCUCUCCUCAACUCCUCGUCCUGGCCUCAUCUCCGGCCCGGUCAGGGCUCACCUCACCUACCCCCACGAGGUCUAGUCCCAGCUCCGCCAUAGCCCGCCUUGCCGGUCUAGAGAUUCUCCUCGGUGCACCGAGUUCCCCUGCUUCUUCUCCUCACCAACGAACAACCAACCAUGCCAACAUUUGAGAAAAGAUGGGUGAUGGAGUGCGCUUCACGAGGUUGGUCGUAUCCCUCCUGCCAGGUCGUGCAGUUCCUUGGCUCGCGACAUGCGGUCCGGUAGCAUGGGCUUUCUGUUCACGGGCACGCCGGUUUCCACCAUGCAGUUCGCUAGCUGGUUGGGCGUGGUUUCGGUAUCGCGGCAAUGCAGUUUGAUUGAGUGCUUCCGGUGUACACUUCAAAUUAGUUUUUUUGUAUGUUCAGAUUUACAUUGCAAUGUGGUGAAGUCCCGGCUGGGUGGUGCUACAAUGCAGUUUGUGUGUGCCGCUCUCAGUCUUUGCUGUUGUUUUCUUGGUGGUGCUCGAGUGCUAAUUCUGCUAUGUAUGGUUGUAUGCUGGUGGUUUGUGCUACAACGACGUGCAGUUCGCCAGGC